CGCACGGGUGAGUAACACGUAUGGAACCUGCCCUAUGCAGGGGGAUAAGCGGAAGAAAUUCCGUCUAAUACCGCAUAACACCAUUUGGAGACAUCUCCAGGGGGGUCAAAGGAGGCGACUCCGGCAUAGGAUGGCCAUGCGUCGCAUUAGCUAGUCGGCGGGGGUAACGGCCCACCGAGGCGACGAUGCGUAGGGGGUUCUGAGAGGAAGGUCCCCCACACUGGUACUGAGACACGGACCAGACUCCUACGGGAGGCAGCAG
Molecule: ribosomal RNA, 262 nt
Filed under: uncultured bacterium
Lineage: Bacteria
Description: partial 16S ribosomal RNA
Rfam family: Bacterial small subunit ribosomal RNA
Source: RNAcentral